CGGGCAUCUUCGGAUGCUAGUGGCAGACGGGUGAGUAACACGUGGGAACGUACCUUUCGGUUCGGAAUAAUACAGGGAAACUUGUACUAAUACCGGAUACGCCCUUCGGGGGAAAGAUUUAUCGCCGAUAGAUCGGCCCGCGUCUGAUUAGCUAGUUGGUGAGGUAAUGGCUCACCAAGGCGACGAUCAGUAGCUGGUCUGAGAGGAUGAUCAGCCACACUGGGACUGAGACACGGCCCAGACUCCUACGGGAGGCAGCAGUGGGGAAUAUUGGACAAUGGGCGAAAGCCUGAUCCAGCCAUGCCGCGUGUGUGAUGAAGGCCUUAGGGUUGUAAAGCACUUUUGUCCGGGAAGAUAAUGACUGUACCGGAAGAAUAAGCCCCGGCUAACUUCGUGCCAGCAGCCGCGGUAAUACGAAGGGGGCUAGCGUUGCUCGGAAUCACUGGGCGUAAAGGGCGCGUAGGCGGACUCUUAAGUCGGGGGUGAAAGCCCAGGGCUCAACCCUGGAAUUGCCUUCGAUACUGAGAGUCUUGAGUUCGGAAGAGGUUGGUGGAACUGCGAGUGUAGAGGUGAAAUUCGUAGAU
Molecule: ribosomal RNA, 584 nt
Filed under: Afipia sp. H1.28
Lineage: Bacteria; Pseudomonadati; Pseudomonadota; Alphaproteobacteria; Hyphomicrobiales; Nitrobacteraceae
Description: bacterial SSU rRNA
Rfam family: Bacterial small subunit ribosomal RNA
Source: RNAcentral